This 760-nucleotide non-coding RNA is filed under the name Pseudorhaetus sinicus. Lineage: Eukaryota; Metazoa; Arthropoda; Insecta; Coleoptera; Lucanidae. The record is from RNAcentral.
AAAAAGUUUUAUUGUGGCUUUAAAAAUUCGGUUUAUGGUGAAUACACAUACGCCGAUUAGGCUAGAGGAAAUUGGGAAAUUUAUUGUAGUGAUUAAAUUUAAUGAUUAAGGGGACUUAGAAUUAGAUAUUCAUAAGGAUACAAACAAAUCUUGUGCCAGCAGUUGCGGUUAAACAUGAUGUAUCACUGAGUUUGGUUCGGGAAAUGGUUAUCUUCACAAGUGUUUGUGAUUGCUAGUUGUAUAAGGUGAAAUUUUGCGAUUGGUAGAAUUUUGAAUUGUAGAGAGAGACUAUUAGAUUUUAGUACUAGACUAGGAUUAGAUACCCUAUUAUUAAAAAUGUAAAUUUACAUUCCUGAGAAGUAUUAGUAUAUUCUUUAAAUUUAAAAAAUUUGGCGGUGUCUUAGUCUAUUUAGAGGAACCUGUCCUGUAAUUGAUAAUCCACGAUUAAUUUAACUUAUUCUUUAAGUUUGUAUAUCGUCGUUAUUUGAAUAUCUUUGGAGGGAAAAAUGUUCAGUAUUUAUAAUUUUAUAAUAAAUCAGAUCAAGGUGCAGUUGAUGGAUAAGGAGAGAUGGGUUACAAUGAAUAUAUUUAUAUGGUUUGAAGAAUGAAAUUUUUUCAAUAAAUAGGAUUUGAUAGUAAAGUAAAUGAUUUAAUUUAUUUGAUUUUAGCUCUAGGAUAUGCACAUAUCGCCCGUCACUCCCACCACAAGGUGGGAUAAGUCGUAACAUAGUAGGUGUACCGGAAGGUGUACCUAGAAAGG